RNAcentral lists this ribosomal RNA (638 nucleotides) under Alternaria alternata. RNAcentral describes it as "SSU rRNA". It matches the Rfam family "Bacterial small subunit ribosomal RNA", at positions 349 to 962 of the family's 1533-position model. The record is from RNAcentral. Lineage: Eukaryota; Fungi; Ascomycota; Dothideomycetes; Pleosporales; Pleosporaceae.
CAGCAGUGAGGAAUAUUGGUCAAUGGCCUAACGGCUGAACCAGCAACUUGCAGGAAUGAGAGUUAAUAUAAUAAGUUAUUAACUUGCUUGACUAGGUCUUAUAAAGUUCUGGAUAAAGCUUAUUAUGAAAACUUUAUAUCCAUAGGUCUCGACCAAAUCUUGUGCCAGCAGUCGCGGUAAGACAAGGGAGACGAGUGUUAUUCAUCUUUAACAGGUAUAUAGGGUACCUAGACGGUGUGCAAUGGCUUAAAUAAGUACCUGGUACACUUGAGUUUGAUAUGUGAGAGGAAUAUGUCGGAAUUGUUGGAGGAAAGAUGAAAUUUGUUAAUACCAAUAGGACUGAUAACGGCGAAGGCAAACCUCUAUGUACAUGUACUUGCUAUUUCUGUUUUUAUUAUAGCAAAAUAGCAAUGUACUAUAACUGACGUUGAGGGACGAAGGCUCAGAGAGUGAAGAGGAUUAGAUACCCCCGUAACCUGGGCAGACAAUGAUGAGUGCCAUAGGUUGGCUUUAAGGCGGAACUAUAAAUGAAAGUGGAAGCACUCCACCUCAAGAGUAAUGUGGCAACGCAGGAACUGAAAUCAUUAGACCGUUUCUGAAACCAGUAGUGAAGUAUGUUAUUUAAUUCGAUGAUCCGC